GACGAACGCUGGCGGCGUGCCUAAUACAUGCAAGUCGAACGCUUCUUUCCUCCCGAGUGCUUGCACUCGAUUGGAAAGAGGAGUGGCGGACGGGUGAGUAACACGUGGGUAACCUACCCAUCAGAGGGGGAUAACACUUGGAAACAGGUGCUAAUACCGCAUAAAAGUUUAUGCCGCAUGGCAUAAGAGUGAAAGGCGCUUUCGGGUGUCGCUGAUGGAUGGACCCGCGGUGCAUUAGCUAGUUGGUGAGGUAACGGCUCACCAAGGCCACGAUGCAUAGCCGACCUGAGAGGGUGAUCGGCCACACUGGGACUGAGACACGGCCCAGACUCCUACGGGAGGCAGCAGUAGGGAAUCUUCGGCAAUGGACGAAAGUCUGACCGAGCAACGCCGCGUGAGUGAAGAAGGUUUUCGGAUCGUAAGACUCUGUUGUUAGAGAAGAACAAGGACGUUAGUAACUGGACGUCCCCUGACGGUAUCUAACCAGAAAGCCACGGCUAACUACGUGCCAGCAGCCGCCGUAA
Molecule: ribosomal RNA, 524 nt
Filed under: uncultured bacterium
Lineage: Bacteria
Description: partial 16S ribosomal RNA
Rfam family: Bacterial small subunit ribosomal RNA
Source: RNAcentral